ACUCAAAGGAAUAGACGGGGGCCCGCACAAGCAGUGGAGUAUGUGGUUUAAUUCGAUGCUACGCGAAAAACCUUACCAGGCCUUGACAUCUGGCAAACGUAAUUGAAAGAUUUCGGUGCCCUUCGGGGAAUGCCAAGACAGGUGGUGCAUGGUUGUCGUCAGCUCGUGUCGUGAGAUGUUGGGUUAAGUCCUGCAACGAGCGCAACCCUUGCCGUUAAUUGCUACGCAAGAGAACUUUAGCGGAACUGCCGUUGACAAAACGGAGGAAGGUAGGGAUGACGUCAAAUCUUCAUGCCCCUUAUGGCCUGGGCUACACACGUACUACAAUGGCGCGUACAAUGAGUUGCUACUUAGCGAUAAGAAGCUAACCUCUUAAAAGGCGUCUUAGUUCGGAUUGCAGGCUGAAACUCGCCUGAAUGAAGUCGGAAUUGCUAGUAAUCGCGGAUCAGCAUGCCGCGGUGAAUACGUUCUCGGGCCUUGUACACACCGCCCGU
Molecule: ribosomal RNA, 494 nt
Filed under: uncultured bacterium
Lineage: Bacteria
Description: bacterial SSU rRNA
Rfam family: Bacterial small subunit ribosomal RNA
Source: RNAcentral